UGGGGAAUAUUGCACAAUGGGCGCAAGCCUGAUGCAGCCAUGCCGCGUGUAUGAAGAAGGCCUUCGGGUUGUAAAGUACUUUCAGCGGGGAGGAAGGGAGUAAAGUUAAUACCUUUGCUCAUUGACGUUACCCGCAGAAGAAGCACCGGCUAACUCCGUGCCAGCAGCCGCGGUAAUACGGAGGGUGCAAGCGUUAAUCGGAAUUACUGGGCGUAAAGCGCACGCAGGCGGUUUGUUAAGUCAGAUGUGAAAUCCCCGGGCUCAACCUGGGAACUGCAUCUGAUACUGGCAAGCUGGAGUGUCGUAGAGGGGGGUAGAAUUCCAGGGGUAGCGGUGAAAUGCGUAGAGAUCUGGAGGAAUAACGGUGGCGAAGGCGGCCCCCUGGACGAAGACUGACGCUCAGGUGCGAAAGCGUGGGGAGCAAACAGG
Molecule: ribosomal RNA, 429 nt
Filed under: Chloroflexota bacterium
Lineage: Bacteria; Bacillati; Chloroflexota
Description: Chloroflexi bacterium partial 16S ribosomal RNA
Rfam family: Bacterial small subunit ribosomal RNA
Source: RNAcentral